GGCUCGGUAGCUCAGUGGUAGAGCAGGGGACUCAUAAGCCCUUGGUCGUAGGUUCAAAUCCUACCCGAGUCACCA
Molecule: transfer RNA, 75 nt
Filed under: Bacillota bacterium
Lineage: Bacteria; Bacillati; Bacillota
Also listed under: 2 other names
Description: tRNA-Ile
Rfam family: tRNA
About the family: Transfer RNA (tRNA) molecules are approximately 80 nucleotides in length. Their secondary structure includes four short double-helical elements and three loops (D, anti-codon, and T loops).
Source: RNAcentral